AAUCAACGCUGGCGGCGUGCCUAACACAUGCAAGUCGCACGAGAAAGGGACUUCGGUCCUGAGUAAAGUGGCGCACGGGUGAGUAACACGUGACUAAUCUACCUCCGAGUGGGGAAUAACUGAGGGAAACCUUAGCUAAUACCGCAUAACACUUACGAGUCAAAGCAGCAAUGCGCUUGGAGAGGAGGUCGCGGCAGAUUAGCUAGUUGGGCGGGGUAAGUGGCCCACCCAAGGCGAUGAUCUGUAUCCGGCCUGAGAGGGCGCACGGACACACUGGAACUAGAAACAACGGUCCAGACUCCUACGGGAGGCAGCAGUGGGGAAGUUUUGUCGCAAUAGGGGGAAACCCGUACGACGCAGCAACGCCGCGUGGAGGAUGAAGUCUCUUGGGACGUAAACUACCUUUCG
RNAcentral lists this ribosomal RNA (408 nucleotides) under uncultured bacterium. RNAcentral's name for it is "bacterial SSU rRNA". It matches the Rfam family "Bacterial small subunit ribosomal RNA", at positions 32 to 439 of the family's 1533-position model. The record is from RNAcentral.